AAAUAAGACACAAAUUAUUGUAUUUAGUUUCGACCUAAAAGUUUGGUAUAAAAAUACCCUUAUUUA
Molecule: transfer RNA, 66 nt
Filed under: Staphylinoidea sp. 6 KM-2017
Lineage: Eukaryota; Metazoa; Arthropoda; Insecta; Coleoptera
Description: tRNA-Arg
Source: RNAcentral